AACGAACGCUGGCGGCAGGCCUAACACAUGCAAGUCGAGCGAGGACUUCGGUUCUAGCGGCGGACGGGUGAGUAACGCGUGGGAAUGUGCCCUUCUCUACGGAAUAGCCCUGGGAAACUGGGAGUAAUACCGUAUACGCCCUAUCGGGGAAAGAUUUAUCGGAGAAGGAUCAGCCCGCGUUGGAUUAGGUAGUUGGUGGGGUAAUGGCCUACCAAGCCGACGAUCCAUAGCUGGUUUGAGAGGAUGAUCAGCCACACUGGGACUGAGACACGGCCCAGACUCCUACGGGAGGCAGCAGAUGGGAAUCUUAGACAAUGGGGGCAACCCUGAUCUAGCCAUGCCGCGUGAGUGAUGAAGGCCUUAGGAUUGUAAAGCUCUUUCAGCUGAGAAGAUAAUGACGGUACCAGCAGAAGAAGCCCCGGCUAACUCCGUG
Molecule: ribosomal RNA, 433 nt
Filed under: uncultured bacterium
Lineage: Bacteria
Description: partial 16S ribosomal RNA
Rfam family: Bacterial small subunit ribosomal RNA
Source: RNAcentral